UGACCCUGUUCAGAUGGGAGACCUGCUCCACCAUUAAAGGGACAGAUUCGAAGGCACCAGAAGGCAGAGGCGAUGGCGAGACGGAUAGUGAUGCUGACCAAUGAGCUGGACAGGGGGAUGGAGCGAUGGAAGGAGCAGCAGACUGCCCUCUGCAGGCAGGGGGAGGAACGUCAGCUCAACCAGCCCCGACCGAAAGGAGCCAAGCACAGAGCGAGGGCCAAGUGCCCAGGUGGCAGAGGGCAGAACGUCGGCUAAAUAAAAUAUACCUGGCAAUGCU
Chiloscyllium plagiosum (whitespotted bambooshark) is the source of this 277-nucleotide non-coding RNA. The record is from RefSeq and is a predicted model, not a curated record. Lineage: Eukaryota; Metazoa; Chordata; Chondrichthyes; Orectolobiformes; Hemiscylliidae.